GGUCAAGUUAUUAAGGGUGCAGGGCGGAUGCCUUGGCACUAGGAGCCGAUGAAGGACGUGAUAAGCUGCGAUAAGCUUCGGGGAGUUGCACGUAAACUUUGAUCCGAAGAUUUCCGAAUGAGGAAACUCACUUAGAGUAAUGUCUAAGUAUCAUUAAGUGAAUACAUAGCUUAAUGAGGGGAACUCAGGGAACUGAAACAUCUAAGUACCUGAAGGAAGAGAAAGAAAUUCGAUUCCGUAAGUAGCGGCGAGCGAACGCGGAUUAGCCCAAACCAAUAAAGUUUUCUUUAUUGGGGUUGCGGACAUAUCAUAACGAAGAGGUAUCGUAAUUGAAGAGGUUUGGAAAGAUCCACCACAGAAGGUAAUAGUCCUGUAUGUUAAACGAGAAGACUUCAGAUAUGAUCCAGAGUACCACGGGACACGUGAAACCCUGUGGGAAGCAGGAGGGACCACCCUCCAAGGCUAAAUACUACCUAGUGACCGAUAGCGUAUAGUACCGUGAGGGAAAGGUGAAAAGAACCCCGGGAGGGGAGUGAAAUAGAACCUGAAACCCUGCACUUACAAGCUGUGGAAGCACAUUUCUUGUGUGACCGCGUACUUUUUGUAGAACGGGCCAACGAGUUACGUUAAGUAGCAAGGUUAAGCACUUAAGGUGCGGAGCCGUAGCGAAAGCGAGUUUUAACUGAGCGUUCAGUUAUUUGACGUAGACCCGAAACCGGGCGACCUACCCAUGAGCAGGAUGAAGCGAAAGUAAAAUUUCGUGGAGGUCCGAACCCACGAGCGUUGAAAAGCUCGGGGAUGACUUGUGGGUAGCGGUGAAAUUCCAAUCGAGCCCGGAGAUAGCUGGUUCUCCCCGAAAUAGCUUUAGGGCUAGCCUCAAGGUGAGAGAUACGGAGGUAGAGCACUGAAUGUCCUAGGGGGUAUUGCACCUACCGAAGACUAUCAAACUCCGAAUGCCGUCAUCUUAUACUUGGGAGUCAGACUGUGGGUGAUAAGAUUCAUAGUCGAAAGGGCAACAGCCCAGAUCGUCAGCUAAGGUCCCUAAAUGUAAGUUAAGUGGUAAAGGAUGUGGGAUUGCACAGACAACCAGGAUGUUGGCUUAGAAGCAGCCACUCAUUCAAAGAGUGCGUAAUAGCUCACUGGUCGAGUGAUCCUGCGCCGAAGAUUUCCGGGGCUAAAACUUACUACCGAAGCUACGGCAUCAGUAAUGAUGGGUAGGGGAGCUUCCCAUACGGGUUGAAGCAUGACCGUAAGGACAUGUGGACAGUAUGGGAGUGAGAAUGUUGGCAUGAGUAGCGAGAUGUGGGUGAGAAUCCCACAGGCCGUAAACCCAAGGUUUCCAGGGGAAGGUUCGUCCGCCCUGGGUUAGUCGGGACCUAAGCUGAGGCCGAAAGGCGUAGGUGAUGGACAACAGGUUGAUAUUCCUGUACUACCGAUAACCGUUUGAGAGAAGGGAUGACACAGUAGGAUAAGCUAAGCACACUGUUGGUUAUGUGUGCCCAAGCAUUGAGGCAGUCAAAGUAGG
This 1525-nucleotide ribosomal RNA is filed under the name Clostridioides difficile. Its description in RNAcentral is "partial 23S ribosomal RNA". It matches the Rfam family "Bacterial large subunit ribosomal RNA", at positions 1 to 1536 of the family's 2925-position model. Lineage: Bacteria; Bacillati; Bacillota; Clostridia; Peptostreptococcales; Peptostreptococcaceae. The record is from RNAcentral.